Acinonyx jubatus (cheetah) is the source of this 2714-nucleotide long non-coding RNA. RefSeq lists it as uncharacterized. NCBI's taxonomy places the organism in Eukaryota, Metazoa, Chordata, Mammalia, Carnivora, Felidae. The record is from RefSeq and is a predicted model, not a curated record. The transcript has 5 exons.
GACUGACGGAGCAAGGGAGGACGCACUGCGCAUGCGCUGCUGUCUGGCGGGCGCGCGUAAGGAAUGCGCGUGCGCGGGCGACCCGGCUGGCGGUUGCGCUGCAGCCCCACUUCUGAACUCAGCGUAGUGAGGCGUCUCCCGCCCCCCACCCGCAGCUGUGGGCUGCAGCACAGCCGGUUGGGGUGUGUCAGGUGAGCAGUGCUCCCUCCCACUCUUCAGUCGGGUCUACAAACCCCGCAGCCGGCGUGGAAUUCCUGCACUGUCAUUGCUGUCCCCCCCCCCCCAACCCCCGAUUCAGACUGAACGGCGGUCACCCGCCUACACCGACACUUCCUUCGUGCCAAGAUGGGAGCGGGCCGCCCCGCCGCAAAAGAGGCUUUGUGCAGCCCGUGUCCGGAGAGUUAGUGCGGUCCGAGAUUUCUGGGCUCUCUACUUUGCAAUCUCACGUGGCGCCGUGUUCCUCCGUCUUGACCCCACAUCUGGAGCAGAUUCUCCCAGCCCCUGAGCAGCUGCGUGACAGAAAAAGUAUUGACAGGGCUUGCUUUAAUAAUAGUGUCGAAGUUUUUGUAGGAGAUGCUCCGUGUGAGAUUUGACAAGACCCAGUAGAGAGAGACAGAGUGCGAGUGUGGAGGAACAAAGAAAAAGGGAGACACAGAACCCAAAGCAGGCUCCAGGCUCUGAGCUGUCAGUACAGAGCCCGACAUGGGGCUCAAACUCACAAACCGCGAGAUCAUGACCUGAGCUGAAGUCUGAUGCUUAACCAACUGAGCCACCCAGACCAAGGAAUUAAAAUCUCUUCUCUCUUGAUAAAGAAGUCACUCCCUUCCUGCUUUGCUCUCCCCUCUGAUUCUCCUCACCUUGUUGGAAGUGGCCCAGUUUGUUGGUCUUCUUGAUUGGCUAGAACAAAUAAUUCUAAAAUUUGUAUGGAGCCAGAAAAGACCCAAAUAGCCAAAGCAAUCUUGGCAAUCUUGAAAAAGAAAACCAAAGCAGGAGGCAUCACAAUCCCAGAAUUCAAGCUAUACUACAAAGCUGUAAUCAUCAAGACAGUAUGGUACUGGCACAAAAACAGACAUUCACAUCAAUGGAACAGAAUAGAGAACCCAGAAUUGGACUCACAAAUGUAUGGCCAACUAAUCUUUGACAAAGCAGGAAAGAUUAUUCAAUGAAAAAAGACUGUCUUUUCAGCACAUCGUGCUGGGAAAACUGGACAGCGACAUGCAAAAGAAUGAAACUGGACCACUUUCUUACACCAUACACAAAAAUAAACUCAAAUAGAUAAAAGACUUAAAUUAAGACAGGAAACCAUCAAAGUCAUAUAGGAGGAAACAGGCAGCAACCUCUUUGACAUUGGCUGCAACAGCUUCUUACUAGACAUGUCUCUGGAGGCAAGGGAAACAGAGGCAAAAAUGAACUAUUGGGACCUCAUCAAGAUAAAAAGCUUCUGCCCAGCAAAGGAAACAACAAAACUAAAAGGCAACUGACAAAAUGGGAGAAGGUAUUUGCAAAUGACAUAUUGGAUAAAGGGUUAGUAUCCAAAAUCUAUAAUUCUGUUUUUCUUUUUAGUGUGAUACAGCUAAUAUUUCUUUAUAUAUUGCCUUGCAUAAAUAAUAUCCACCAACAUAGUAAAAAUGAUGGAAAAUAAAGUUUUAACAUCCACACAUUUUGCAGGUUGGGGAUAUUAAAAUUGCUGCCAGUGUGAACCUGACUCCUCAUUCUGUUUACCUGCAGGGACAAAGGUAAUAAGGAAUCUGGGAGUAUGGCAGAGGCUGAGGUCGAGAUGGCAAGCAUGUUCUUCUAUGUUUCUUAAGUUCAGCCUGGCCAUCAGGGAACCUUUGGUCCCCAAGUGACCUGGGUGAAUAGCAUCCAAGUGGUCAACUUUGAGCAUGAAAGUGUAAAGGAUUUUGCCUGUUCCCAACUGAGGGAGAGAAAGAUCAGAAGUACAUUUCACUUGCAUGUACUUGAAUAAAUGAAUGUGACCAAAAAACAAAGCACAAAAAAGAACAAAAAUAUUAAAUAAUGUAGCCAACUAUGCCUGAUGAUCUGGACAGGAAGCAGAUGCCCUGGAAUGAGAGAGAAGUGACUGAUCUCCCAGUCAGUCUUGGUCCUUGUCUCUCAGAGUGCUGGAGCAAAUGUGUGCACCUCUUCCCAACUCUGUGUUCAGUGACAAUCACGUUGGUGGCCUGAAAUUGGCUGUGCAUCUGCACCAUGGAUAUAAGCAAGUGCUACAAAUGGGGAUGCUCUGUUUCAGACAGUUGGUUGACCAGUUCGUCACUGCCUAACCUGCCUCCUGUAGUGGGGACACCUGGACACACUGAAGGUGCUUCUGGCAUCUAAAGAAUGCUGGAUAUAAAUCAAAGACUUGGAAUAAUCCAAGAAGCAUUUAUCCAAGAAAAGUUGCUGAAUCAAGGUAAGAACAAUGAACUUUGGGGCAUUUUAUUUUACCCUAUUUACAUCUCCCUCUUCCCACAUGAAGAAACAAAGAUCCCACUGGCAAAGGUAACAACACAUAGGUAAAUAUAAAAGACUGUAUAAAUGUAACUUUUGUUUGAAGCCCUUUUCUUCUGCCAUCUAAUUUAAAAGACAACUGCAUAAAGCAAUACUUAUAAAUACAGGUCAUUGGGCAUAUAAUGUAAAACAAGGUAUUUGUAUGUCAAUAAUAGCACAGGGGAGGUGGGAGAGAAUGAACUUAUAUAGGAGAAACGUUUCUGUAUACU